UUUAAUUGAAGAGUUUGAUCAUGGCUCAGAUUGAACGCUGGCGGCAGGCCUAACACAUGCAAGUCGAGCGGCAGCACAGAGGAACUUGUUCCUUGGGUGGCGAGCGGCGGACGGGUGAGUAAU
RNAcentral lists this ribosomal RNA (123 nucleotides) under Vibrio metoecus. Its description in RNAcentral is "partial 16S ribosomal RNA". It matches the Rfam family "Bacterial small subunit ribosomal RNA", at positions 1 to 114 of the family's 1533-position model. Lineage: Bacteria; Pseudomonadati; Pseudomonadota; Gammaproteobacteria; Vibrionales; Vibrionaceae. The record is from RNAcentral.